UGGACGAAGUCUGACGGAGCAACGCCGCGUGAGUGAUGAAGGUUUUCGGAUCGUAAAACUCUGUUGUCAGGGAAGAACAAGUGCCGGAGUAACUGCCGGCGCCUUGACGGUACCUGACCAGAAAGCCACGGCUAACUACGUGCCAGCAGCCGCGGUAAUACGUAGGUGGCAAGCGUUGUCCGGAAUUAUUGGGCGUAAAGCGCGCGCAGGCGGUUUCUUAAGUCUGAUGUGAAAGCCCCCGGCUCAACCGGGGAGGGUCAUUGGAAACUGGGAAACUUGAGUGCAGAAGAGGAGAGUGGAAUUCCACGUGUAGCGGUGAAAUGCGUAGAGAUGUGGAGGAACACCAGUGGCGAAGGCGACUCUCUGGUCUGUAACUGACGCUGAGGCGCGAAAGCGUGGGGAGCGAACAGGAUUAGAUACCCUGGUAGUCCACGCCGUAAACGAUGAGUGCUAAGUGUUAGAGGGUUUCCGCCCUUUAGUGCUGCAGCUAACGCAUUAAGCACUCCGCCUGGGGAGUACGGUCGCAAGACUGAAACUCAAAGGAAUUGACGGGGGCCCGCACAAGCGGUGGAGCAUGUGGUUUAAUUCGAAGCAACGCGAAGAACCUUACCAGGUCUUGACAUCCUUUGCCACUUCUAGAGAUAGAAGGUUCCCCUUCGGGGGACAAAGUGACAGGUGGUGCAUGGUUGUCGUCAGCUCGUGUCGUGAGAUGUUGGGUUAAGUCCCGCAACGAGCGCAACCCUUGAUCUUAGUUGCCAGCAUUCAGUUGGGCACUCUAAGGUGACUGCCGGUGACAAACCGGAGGAAGGUGGGGAUGACGUCAAA
RNAcentral lists this ribosomal RNA (825 nucleotides) under uncultured Bacillus sp. RNAcentral describes it as "bacterial SSU rRNA". It matches the Rfam family "Bacterial small subunit ribosomal RNA", at positions 372 to 1189 of the family's 1533-position model. The record is from RNAcentral. Lineage: Bacteria; Bacillati; Bacillota; Bacilli; Caryophanales; Bacillaceae.